GGGCCCGUAGCUCAACGGCAGAGCCAUCGGCUCAUAACCGAUAGGUUCCUGGUUCGAAUCCAGGCGGGCCCA
RNAcentral lists this transfer RNA (72 nucleotides) under Acidobacteriota bacterium. RNAcentral's name for it is "Acidobacteria bacterium tRNA-Ile". It matches the Rfam family "tRNA". From Rfam's summary of the family: Transfer RNA (tRNA) molecules are approximately 80 nucleotides in length. Their secondary structure includes four short double-helical elements and three loops (D, anti-codon, and T loops). Further hydrogen bonds mediate the characteristic L-shaped molecular structure. tRNAs have two regions of fundamental functional importance: the anti-codon, which is responsible for specific mRNA codon recognition, and the 3' end, to which the tRNAs corresponding amino acid is attached (by aminoacyl-tRNA synthetases). tRNAs cope with the degeneracy of the genetic code in two manners: having more than one tRNA (with a specific anti-codon) for a particular amino acid; and 'wobble' base-pairing, i.e. permitting non-standard base-pairing at the 3rd anti-codon position. The record is from RNAcentral. Lineage: Bacteria; Pseudomonadati; Acidobacteriota.